GCCAGCAGCUAGCUCUCUGCAACUCUCACAUGGUCGCCCACUGAAGCUAAGCAGGGCUGCGCCCGGUCAGUACCUGGAUAGGAGACCACAUGGGAAAGCUAGGUUGCUGCCGGAA
Molecule: non-coding RNA, 115 nt
Organism: Danio rerio (zebrafish)
Lineage: Eukaryota; Metazoa; Chordata; Actinopteri; Cypriniformes; Danionidae
Source: Rfam